This 87-nucleotide transfer RNA is filed under the name Terriglobia bacterium. Its description in RNAcentral is "tRNA-Leu". It matches the Rfam family "tRNA". Rfam says of the family: Transfer RNA (tRNA) molecules are approximately 80 nucleotides in length. Their secondary structure includes four short double-helical elements and three loops (D, anti-codon, and T loops). Further hydrogen bonds mediate the characteristic L-shaped molecular structure. tRNAs have two regions of fundamental functional importance: the anti-codon, which is responsible for specific mRNA codon recognition, and the 3' end, to which the tRNAs corresponding amino acid is attached (by aminoacyl-tRNA synthetases). tRNAs cope with the degeneracy of the genetic code in two manners: having more than one tRNA (with a specific anti-codon) for a particular amino acid; and 'wobble' base-pairing, i.e. permitting non-standard base-pairing at the 3rd anti-codon position. RNAcentral also lists the same sequence under 1 other name. Lineage: Bacteria; Pseudomonadati; Acidobacteriota; Terriglobia. The record is from RNAcentral.
GCCGAAGUGGCGGAAUUUGGUAGACGCGCUAGAUUCAGGAUCUAGUGGGCCUAGCCCGUCCCGGUUCGAGUCCGGGCUUCGGCACCA